GAUGAGCGCUGGCGGCGUGCCUAAUACAUGCAAGUUGAGCGCUGAAGGUUGGUACUUGUACCAACUGGAUGAGCAGCGAACGGGUGAGUAACGCGUGGGGAAUCUGCCUUUGAGCGGGGGACAACAUUUGGAAACGAAUGCUAAUACCGCAUAAAAACUUUAAACACAAGUUUUAAGUUUGAAAGAUGCAAUUGCAUCACUCAAAGAUGAUCCCGCGUUGUAUUAGCUAGUUGGUGAGGUAAAGGCUCACCAAGGCGAUGAUACAUAGCCGACCUGAGAGGGUGAUCGGCCACAUUGGGACUGAGACACGGCCCAAACUCCUACGGGAGGCAGCAGUAGGGAAUCUUCGGCAAUGGACGAAAGUCUGACCGAGCAACGCCGCGUGAGUGAAGAAGGUUUUCGGAUCGUAAAACUCUGUUGGUAGAGAAGAACGUUGGUGAGAGUGGAAAGCUCAUCAAGUGACGGUAACUACCCAGAAAGGGACGGCUAACUACGUG
RNAcentral lists this ribosomal RNA (497 nucleotides) under uncultured bacterium. RNAcentral's name for it is "partial 16S ribosomal RNA". It matches the Rfam family "Bacterial small subunit ribosomal RNA", at positions 28 to 507 of the family's 1533-position model. The record is from RNAcentral.